RNAcentral lists this long non-coding RNA (16556 nucleotides) under Triticum aestivum (bread wheat). Its description in RNAcentral is "long non-coding RNA (TAES_LNC015693)". The stretch from base 14745 to 14848 matches the Rfam family "Plant small nucleolar RNA R71". The record is from RNAcentral. Lineage: Eukaryota; Viridiplantae; Streptophyta; Magnoliopsida; Poales; Poaceae.
CAAUCUUACAGAAAUUUCAGAGAGCAUGAGAAAGAAAAAAAAGCAGCAGGAGGUUGAGGUAGUAGCAGCCAGGUUGAAGAGAGAAGUAGCAGCAGGGGGGUUGAGAAAAGAGAAGUAGUUGGUGAUAGAGUAGUAGCAGCAGCAACAAGAGGAGGAGCAGGACGACAACAGGCGUUGAGAGAGAAGGAGGAAGAGAUUCAGCAGCAGGAGGUUGCGGGCAUCAGCAGCAGCAAGGAGGAGAGAGGCGCGCGAGGGGGCAGACACCCGUCUGGUCGGGCGCGCGAGGUGCGGCGGUGGGAUGGCGGCGCUGUGGUGCAGAUGGAGUGGUGGAUGUUGCUGAUGGUAUGGCGCGGCAGCGAAGAUGUGGAUGGGCGGCGCUGGUGGAAGCUGUGUGGUGGCUGAGAGGCGCACCACCACGCCGGCCUAUCCGUGGCGGCGGCCGAUGGUGGAGAAGAAGGGGAGAGGGAGAGAGAUCAGUGGCCAGGCUCGAUGGGGAUCGGCUGCGCUAGGGAUUUUUGGUCCCCUCCUCUGUUCUGUCUUUUUUUUACUUUGGCCCUCCUCAUUUCUUCUUUCUUCCCAAGAAGAUCCUCCUCUUCUUUUAGUUUGCUCCCCUACAUUACUUCUUUCCUUCACGCUCAAGCCUUGACGUAUUUCUUUCAUGCCCUUCUCUCUUCUCGUUAGCCACAUAGUAGAAGUCUUGACGAUUAUAGUGCCUUUGUGCACUUUUCUGCAAAAUAAACAAUUCACUAGUCAACAUUCUCUUUUAUGAUUAUCAUUCGAAUAUUCAACAAGUCAUAGAAAGAAUGGAUGGAUAUAUCUCAAUAAAUGGUGAAUUUGUGUGCCCUAAUAGUAUAUAAGUGUAACGCCCCGGAUACAACUUUCCAUAUUCAGAACUCCGACUCUUGCCUUUUCCGGAGAUGCUAUAUGAUAUUUCCUUCAUGGUUGUGUUUUUGUCUGUUGUUUGCUUGUUGUUCUUGUUAUGCAUCUUGUCUCAUAGCAUCAUGCACAUUGCAUCGGCAUCGUUUUCAUAAAACUUGCAUCCGUUCGUGUUCCGCCGGUUCUCUCCGUGGUCCGUUCUGAAUCCGGACACACUUGCACGCGCCCGCGGCACCUCCGAAAUAUUAUUUUAUAAGUGGCAUAAAAAUGUUCUCGGAAUCGGUUGCAACUUGUCGUGCGGUCUUAUUAUAGUGUAGACAGGCCGCCUAUCAAGUUUCGUCGCAUUCGGAGUCCAUUUGAUAGCCCAACCGUCAUGCGUAGCGGCACCAUUGCCGGUUUAAUCGUCGGACGUUUCGGCUUUCGAAACUGUUGUCGGGCCUCUCUUCUCUUCUCUCCUCUCAGCUCGAGGCCUCUCAUCACAGCCCACUAGUUAGCCUAGCCCACCUACCUAACCCCCCUCCGCUCCGGACCGUCCGAUCGAGAUCGAACGGCUCCGAAACGGAGCAAAUCCCCCUAACCUAAGACCCCUGCCUUUUAAACCCCCCUUCCUUCCAAAAAUGGGCAACCCUAGCCUUCCCCUACCUCUAGCCUCCCCCCUCCUCAGAAUCCGCGCUGCCCCACCUCCUUCCUGCCACUUGGCCUCCUCCCAUUGGCCAGCCGCCGCUGUGCAGCCUCCCUCACCCAACCGGAAGCCUCCACCUCGCCUCCCCCAGCGCGCCUCCUCCACCUCAGGCCCGCGAGGCCCAGAUCAGGGCCUGCCGAAGCCCAUCUGGGCCCGGCUCCCACUCGCCUGCGCCCGAGCGCCUCCCCUCGCAGCACCCCGCCGCGUGGCCGUCCGCCCGCUUGCCGGUGCGCGCCACCACGCUGGUGUGCUGCCCCGGUCACCGAACUGCUCCGCCACCGCCACCGACCAGGUCGCCGCCUCCCUCUCUCUCCCGUCUCUCCCUCUGGUUUCUCUCUCUCUCAGAUCUCUCUCUCUCCUCUCGCAGGAGCUUGCCGCCGCUGCUCGGUUCUCGUCGCAGGAGCCCCUCCGGCCUCCUCCCGCGGCGGAUCUGGCGCCGUGCCGGCCGGAUCCCGCAGCUUCGGCCUCCUUUUGGCCUCCCCGGCACCGGACCUCGUCGGCAUCGCGCUGCGGCCCGUCCCUGCUGCCUUCCCUCGAUCCCCUCUGGAUCGAGGAGGACGACGCCCUGCGCCACCGCGUGGGCCUCCUCAGCUCCCCGGCCCAGCGCGCUGACCCGCUUCAGCCCAGCAGCGCCAAGGCCCAGCUCGCCCUCCAUCUCCCCCGCGGCCAGGCCCAGCCAGCUUCCUCCACCAACGGGCCGAAGCCCAUGGGUGAGCCCCCAGUGCCUCUCUGUUUUUUUUCACCGAUUGAGCCAAACCGGAUUCAGCCCGUUGUGUUUUUUUUUCCUGCUGCGAAUUUAGGCAUUAUCCAGAGACUGCCUGUUUUACAAAAAAAACCCUAAGCAUCAUGCAUUUAAUAUCUCUCAAACCGUGCAUCGGAUUAAAAUAAUUUAUAUAUGUAAAAUGCUUAGAAUUCUGUGUAGAUUAAUAAUAUGCCAUUUUCAUCCAUGUUUAAAAUGGUUAACUUGCUGUUUAUUUAAAUUUGCUCAAUUGCCAUGUUAAAAUGCUUUAAUUCAUAACUAAAUAACCGUAGCUCGGUUUUAAAUAAACUUUAUAUGUAAAUGGGGUGGAAAAAUGCCUAGAUUAACAUGGUGCACUUUAUGUUGCUGUUUAACAACCUUAAAAUGUUGUUUAGGACAGAACAGUACCGAAUCUAAAAUAUGCAUAUGGGGAUUUUCCAGACUUGUUGUUUGUUACUUUCGGCCUCAUUUAAAUUUGCCUAGAUAGGUAGUUUCCUUAUGUUUCACCUCUUUCCAUGUUUAACAACAUUUAAUAUUGUUGUGUACCUAAACGAGAGAGAACUAAAUAAUUGCAUGUGGUGUUUUGUCAAUAUGCAACUCGUUGCAUAUUGAGCUCCACUUAAUUUGUAGUGUUGUCUGUUGCAGUUUGCCAUGCCAUGCCUCUUUAAACCGGACAUGCAUCAUACUUGAUUGUGCAUCAUGCCAUGAUUAUGCUUGUGUGUUUACCAUGUUGUUUGUUUCUUUCCGGUGUUGCUUCUUAGUUCCGGUAAUGUUGCGAUUGUGAGGAUUCGUUCGACUACGUCCGCUUGUCUUCUUCAUGGACUUCUUCUUCCUAGCGGGAUUUCAGGCAAGAUGACCACUACCCUGGAUCUCACUACUAUCAUUGCUAUGCUAGUUGCUUCGAUCUAUUGCUUUGCUGCGCUACCUAUCAUCUGUUUGUCGAGCCAUCCCAUGUUGCCAUGAACCUCUAACCUUUGACACCUUUCCUAUGCAAACCGUUGUUUGGCUAUGUUACCACUUUGCUCAGCCCCUCUUAUAGCGUUGCUAGUUGCAGGUGAAGUUGAAGAUUGCUCCAUGGUGGACAGGAUUUUUGUUGGGAUAUCACAAUAUCUCUUAUAUUAUUAAUGCACCUAUAUACUUGGUAAAGGGUGGAAGGCUCGGCCUUAUGCCUGGUGUUUUGUUCCACUCUUCCCGCCCUAGUUUCCGUCAUACCGGUGUUAUGUUCCCGGAUUUUGCAUUCCUUACGCGGUCGGGUGAUUUAUGGGACCCCCUUGACAGUUCGCUUUGAAUAAAACUCCUCCAGCAAGGCCCAACCUUGGUUUUACCAUUUGCCUCACCACCACCUAUAUUUCCCUUGUGAGUAAUUAACCCAAGGGUCAUCUUUAUUACAGCCCCCCCGGGCCAGUGCUUGUCUAAGUGUUGGUCCGAACUAGAGCCCUUUGCAGCGCCCCCUCAGGGAAACUUGAGGUCUGGUUUUAGUUGUACGGAUUGCUCAUCCGGUGUUGCCCUGAGAACGAGAUAUGUGCAGCUCCUAUCGGGAUUGUCGGUGCAUCGGGCGGUCUUGCUGGUCUUGUUUUACCAUUGUCGAAAUGUCUUGUAAACCGGGAUUCCGAGUCUGAUCGCGUCUUCCUGGGAGAAGGUCUAUUCCUACGUUGAUCGUGAGAGCUUGUCAUGGGCUAAGUUGGGACACCCCUGCAGGGUAUAAUCUUUCGAAAGCCGUGCCUGCGGUUAUAGGCAGAUGGGAAUUUGUUAAUGUCCGGUUGUAGAUAACUUGACACCAGAUCCAAAUUAAAACGCAUCAACCGCGUGUGUGGCCGUGAUGGUCUCUUCUCGGCGGAGUCCGGGAAGUGAACACGGUCUUUGGGUUAUGUUUGACGUAAGUAGGAGUUCAGGAUCACUUCUUGAUCAUUGCUAGCUUCACGACUGUUCCGCUUGCUCUCUUCUCGCUCUUAUUUGCGUAUGUCAGCCACCAUAUAUGCUUAGUCGCUGCUGCAGCCUCACCACUUUACCCCUUCCUUUCCCUCUAAGCUUUGCUAGUCUUGAUACCCAUGGUAAUGGGAUUGCUGAGUCCCCGUGGCUCAUAGAUUACUACAACAACAGUUGCAGGUACAGGUUAUGCGAUGAUCAUGACGCGAGAGCGAUGCUUGCUUGCGUUGAGUUCUUCUUCUGCUUCUUCGAUCAGGGGAUAGGUUCCAGGUCGGCAGCCUGGGCUAGCAGGGUGGAUGUCAUUUGAGUUUCUAUUUGUGUUUCAUCCGUAGUCGGAUGAUGCUCUUAUGUAUUGUGAUGUUGUAUUCGUGUGGCAUUGUAUGCCUUAUGUAUGUAUCCCCAUCUAUUAUGUAAUGUUGAUGUAAUGAUAUCCACCUUGCAAAGCGUUUCAAUAUGCGGGUCUAUCCUUGGUGGGACCUUCGAGUUCCUUUUGGAUAGGGUCGCAUAUUGAGCGUGACAAGUUGGUAAUCAGAGCCUCGACCGACCAUAGGAGCCCCCUUGAUUGUUGGCCGUUGUUGAGUCUAGAAGAAAACUAUUUUGAGUCUUAGGAUUAUAUAUAUCGGAGAGUAGGAUUCUUUUUACUCCUCAGCCCCUUCGUCGCUCUGGUGAGGACUCCUGACGUAGAUGUUUUGACUUUUCUCUCCUCAAAUUUCACUAAAAAAAUUUUAGGAUCACGCGGGUAUCUUGGAAUCGUUCCGAUGGUUUUGUGACGAGAACAUUGUUCUUGGUGCCUCCUGUCUAUUUAUGUGGCAUUGACCCGGGGAGUCGAGCUCUGAGGUGUUGUUGUCACAAUUUUAUCGUUGCAGUUCUGGAAUACCUGAGAUUUGCCGACAUCGAAAAUCUCUUUUAUGCAGUUGUUGGUGAGAUAACCCCGAUAACCCAGUACUGGGGCGAGCUCGGGAGUAUUGCCAUAACUCGUAUAACGGAUGCUUUUCAAAGGUUGAGGUACACGAUUUCCGAAGGUUUCUUGGUUAUGUGUUGACGGAUGGAUACAGCUGGAUGUAGGUAUUGUUAGUUUGGGUGAGAUAUAUUGCUUCCCCUGUAUCCCCAACACCAGAUUGCAUAACCAGAAAGUUUCGGGAGUUUAUAGGUGGGAAUUCAAGUAGCUCUAGUUUUAUCUUUCCAACAGACACAUGAUACGAUAUGGGACCUAUCAUAUGUUUGUUUCCGGCUUAUUCUGCUAGCCAAAUCUUUUGCUCUGUUUUAUUUGUGGUAUUCAAGUUGCUUCGAAGUCAAGUGUUGAUCCAUACCUUCCCUAAAUGGUGUUCUCGUAUUUCUAUGGGAGUGGUAAUCCUUCUUGAUCAUCGAGAUUGUCAUCCCAAUUCUUUCCAACCGGCGUGCUUCUCUUCAAGGGAUUCGAUCAUUUCAACAUCCACAAGAUCAAUUCUAAGUUUUCUCAAUGGUGUUUGUUUCAUCCGUCCCCAAGUUGCCUUUGUUUUCCCGCCCUCCCACCCUUUUCUUCAAGGACUCAUUUAUUUUAAUCAAGUAUCCAUUUAUUCAUGUGAAGUCACUUCACUCUUUUCAAUCAAUGUUCUGAUCCGGUGAUCCCUCAUGAAGAUGCUCACGAGCUUCAAAUUCAUCAUCCUUCGUUCUUUUUUUUCUUCUUCGGUGGAUCCAAUUCAAGCUUUCAGUGUUGAUCAUAUUCCUUUCCUUGUGUCAAAUGCUUUUUCAUACCGGUGCACCUCUUAAUCUUUCACUUCUCGCUAUUCAUUUGUUCUGGAGUGCUGAAGAUAUCUCGGAAGACUUGUGUUUCCAUUCUCAAUCCGUUCAAGAUAUUUCGAGGUUGUUAUCUCAUUUAAGUCAUUUAAUUCAACCGGUGCAAUCCCCCCUUUCCAUCAAUUGUUCAACGGUGUAUCUUUUAGUGGGCCCUAACCCACAGGUCUUUUCCCAGGAUCUUACCUGACUCUUCUAAUUUUCCCGGAGCCAUUCCCAAAGUCUUUCGAAGUUUGACGUAAGAAUGAAUUAUCAUCAGUCAUAUGUCUUUCUCCAAGAUCUUCAAAUUCUUUUCAUCGUUGUCUCAACCCCCUUCGCUUUUCAUUCUCCCGGAGUAUCUCAACAAUUCAUGGUGGUUCUCAUCAUCAUUCUCAACAUUUGUAGACCGAAGAAGUGUUUCCUCUAAAUCUUGGUCCGUUCUCUUAAAGAUUCAUAGUUCAAGCUUGAUGCCAUCCUCUCAUAAUUGUUUUCGAUUGUCUUAAUUCUUUUCUUACCAUCCGGAGCAUUUCAUGAGUUCUUUCCAUUUUAUUCCUACGAAGGCCAUCAUUUCGGGUUUAUUCGUUCUCAGCUUUUAGCUCCCCUUCUCCAUAUUCUAUCGGUGCAUUAUUCAAGUAUUCUCUAAUAAGCUCAUGAUCUCUUCGUUCACUUGUAUCUAAAUCAAGAUUGUUACGGCGGUUUGUUCAAGAUUUCUCUUCCUUCGUUAUCAUAUCAAUUCAUUCGUUGUUUCCAAAUUCCACCGGUGGUUCCAUCUAUACCUUCUCAAGUUUGUGCUAUAUCUCUCUUAAUUCUUUCUACGAGAAUAAGUAGUAUGCCAAAUCCGUUGUUUGUCAUCAAUUUAAAUUGGUGAAGGAUACGCAUACCGUAAUUCUUAUUAUUGUUUCAUCCAAGUGAUUAAUUCCUUCUUCCGGAGAUUGUUCAUGAUGAAGUAAUUCUUGGUUCUAGUAUUCAUCUUUUCUUUCCGGAGUUCCAAGUUCUCUCGGUUAUAUCAUCGCAAAGCUCCAUCUAAAUCAUUGCAAGGCUUCACCUUGUGUUUCCAACUUCUCUUUCUUUUUAUCAUCCUUUUAUUACCGGAGUUCUUCAUGGAGGCUCUACAUGAUGGUUCAUCAAGGAUUUCUUUCAUUCUCAUUUUGUUCUUCAAGAUUUCUCUCGGAGCUAAGAUCCGCCAAGCUAUACUCAAAAGUAAACAUGGUGCUCAACACAUGUCUUGUUUUGAGGAGCUCAAGUAUUCUUCAUCUUGCAUUUUGAGGUGCAAUUCUCCUACCUUAUCUUUUGAGAUGGUGUUAUGUCACUCUUGAAAAUUUCCUUCAUGUUUCAUGAUUCAUAUGUUGUCAAGAAUGAGGUAUUUUAAAUCCAUCAUUUUCUCUUUGUUCAAGAGAUCUUUUCGACCAAUCAACUUCUUCUUUGGAGUUAUCUUGGUAUAGAUUUCACCUAAAGCCUUCCCUAAGGAAUGUUUCUAUUUGUGGUGCUUAUCAAUGAUCCAAGUUAUCUCUUUAUCAUCUUUGUGGAAGAAGUGUUCAUCUCUUAGUUGAUCUCAAGCAAGCAAUUGUUUUUCGUUAGUGGCAUAAUUUCACCUCAAGUGUUGAGAUGUUUCCAUAAGCCCACUACAAGCUUAUUCUUUUCGUUGUUGGCUUUCCAACAACUCUGUUAUAACCUUCUUGGAAGGGUGCUUUCCUAGUUCAUUUGUGGCAGAAAUUGUCAUUUUCUUCUCCGUCCCUUUAUCCCAACAAUCUAGCUUCUAUUCUUUCGUUCCGAAGGCAUUGUGAUGUUGCUCUUUUCACUCAUCAUCUUGCUUUGGCAAGAUCAUGUUCUUCUCCUUGCUUCUCCAUUUAACCGGAGUGUGGUGUCAUCUCUUCAAGUUCUUUUCAUAUUAUCAAGUUUUGCCUAUCAUUUCAACCGGAGUGCUGUCUAAAAUCUUUCUUACCCCUUGUGCCAUUCCUUCAAUAGUUCCGGAGACAGUAUGUUGUUGAUUUCAUCAAGUAUCCUCUCAUCUUGUCAAGUUCAUGUUCAAUUUCUUCCAUUUACAGUUGGAGUGCUGUCAAAAUUAUAUCAUUCUUAUUCAUUCUUAUCUCGUUUCAACCAGAGUGGUUUCAAUUCCUUCUUGUCCAUUAAACUCUUGAUUCAUGUCUUUGCAACCUUCAAGCUCUCGUAAUGUUCCUUGUUCCUCUUUUCUAACGGAUUGUUUGCAAUCUCGUUCAUCUCUAAUUGCUCAACCUCUCAAGGUUCGUGGUUUCACUCAUUGGUCGAAGAAGCAACUUAGUUUUACCUCUUCUCUUCCUUUCUGUUUUCCCUCCGGUGCCAUCCUAGAUCUCGGGACGAGAUCCUCUCAUAGUGGUGGAGUGUUGUAACGCCCCGGAUACAACUUUCCAUAUUUGGAACUCCAACUCUUUCCUUUUCAGGAGAUGCUAUAUGAUAUUUCCUUCGUGGUUGUGUUUUUGUCUGUUGUUUGCUUGUUGUUCUUGUUAUGCAUCUCGUCUCAUAGCAUCAUGCGCAUUGCAUCGGCAUCGUUUUCAUAAAACUUGCAUCCGUUCGUGUUCCGCCGGUUCUCUCCGUUGUCCGUUCUGAGUCCGGACACACUUGCACGCGCCCGCGGCACCUCCGAAAUAUUAUUUUAUAAGUGGCAUAAAAAUGUUCCCGGAAUCGGUUGCAACUUGUCGUGCGGUCUUAUUAUAGUGUAGACAGGCCGCCUGUCAAGUUUCGUCGCAUUCCGAGUCCAUUUGAUAGCCCAACCGUCAUGCGUAGCGGCACCGUUGCCAGUUUAAUCGUCGGACAUUUCGGCUUUCGAAACUGUUGUCGGGCCUCUCUUCUCUUCUCUCCUCUCAGCUCGAGGCCUCUCAUCACAGCCCACUAGUUAGCCUAGCCCACCUACCUAACCCCCCUCCGCUCCAGACCGUCCGAUCGAGAUCGAACGGCUCUGAAACGGAGCAAAUCCCCCUAACCUAGGACCCCUGCCUUUUAAACCCCCCUUCCUUCCAAAAAUGGGCAACCCUAGCCUUCCCCUACCUCUAGCCUCCCCCCUCCUCAGAAUCCGCGCCGCCCCACCUCCUCCCUGCCACUUGGCCUCCUCCCAUUGGCCAGCCACCGCUGUGCAGCCUCCCUCACCCAACCGGAAGCCUCCACCUCGCCUCCNNNNNNNNNNNNNNNNNNNNNNNNNNNNNNNNNNNNNNNNNNNNNNNNNNNNNNNNNNNNNNNNNNNNNNNNNNNNNNNNNNNNNNNNNNNNNNNNNNNNNNNNNNNNNNNNNNNNNNNNNNNNNNNNNNNNNNNNNNNNNNNNNNNNNNNNNNNNNNNNNNNNNNNNNNNNNNNNNNNNNNNNNNNNNNNNNNNNNNNNNNNNNNNNNNNNNNNNNNNNNNNNNNNNNNNNNNNNNNNNNNNNNNNNNNNNNNNNNNNNNNNNNNNNNNNNNNNNNNNNNNNNNNNNNNNNNNNNNNNNNNNNNNNNNNNNNNNNNNNNNNNNNNNNNNNNNNNNNNNNNNNNNNNNNNNNNNNNNNNNNNNNNNNNNNNNNNNNNNNNNNNNNNNNNNNNNNNNNNNNNNNNNNNNNNNNNNNNNNNNNNNNNNNNNNNNNNNNNNNNNNNNCUCCCCUCGCAGUGCCCCGCCGUGUGGCCGUCCGCCCGCUCGACGGUGCGCGCCACCUCGCCGGUGCGCCGCCCCGGUCACCGAACUGCUCCGCCGCCACCGCCGACCAGGUCGCCGCCUCCCUCUCUCUCCCGUCUCUCCCUCUGGUUUCUCUCUCUCUCUCAGAUCUCUCUCUCUCUCCUCUCGCAGGAGCUUGCCGCCGCUGCUCAGUUCUCAUCGCAGGAGCCCCUCCGGCCUCCUCCCGCGGCGGAUCUGGCGUCGUGCCGGCCGGAUCCCGCAGCUCCGGCCUCCUUUUGGCCUCCCGGCGCCGGACCUCGUCGGCAUCGCGCUGCGGCCCGUCCCUGCUGCCUUCCCUCGAUCCCCUCUGGAUCAAGGAGGACGACGCCCUGCGCCACCGCGUGGGCCUCCUCAGCGCCCCGGCCCAGCGCGCUGACCCGCUUCAGCCCAGCAGCGCCAAGGCCCAGCUCGCCCUCCAUCUCCCCCGCGGCCAGGCCCAGCCAGCCUCCUCCACCAACAGGCCGAAGCCCAUGGGUGAGCAGCCCCCAGUGCCACUCUGUUUUUUUUCACCGAUUGGGCCAAACCGGAUUCAGCCCGUUGUGUUUUUUUUCCCUGCUGCGAAUUUAGACAUUAUCCAGAGACUGCCUGUUUUACAGAAAACCCCCUAAGCAUCAUGCAUUUAAUAUCUCUCAAACCGUGCAUCGGAUUAAAAUAAUUUAUAUAUGUAAAAUGCUUAGAAUUCUGUGUAGAUUAAUAAUAUGUCAUUUUCAUCCAUGUUUAAAAUGUUUAAUUUGCUGUUUAUUUAAAUUUGCUCAAUUGCCAUGUUAAAAUGCUUUAAUUCAUAACUAAAUAACCGUAGCUCGGUUUUAAAUAAACUUUAUAUGUAAAUGGGGUGGAAAAAUGCCUAGAUUAACAUGGUGCACUUUAUGUUGCUGUUUAACAACCUUAAAAUGUUGUUUAGGACAGAACAGUACCGAAUCUAAAAUAUGCAUAUGGGGAUUUUCCAGACUUGUUGUUUGUUACUUUCGGCCUCAUUUAAAUUUGCCUAGAUAGGUAGUUUCCUUAUGUUUCACCUCUUUCCAUGUUUAACAACAUUUAAUAUUGUUGUGUACCUAAACGAGAGAGAACUAAAUAAUUGCAUGUGGUGUUUUGUCAAUAUGCAACUCGUUGCAUAUUGAGCUCCACUUAAUUUGUAGUAUUGUGUGUUGCAGUUUGCCAUGCCAUGCCUCUUUAAACCGGACAUGCAUCAUACUUGAUUGUGCAUCAUGCCAUGAUUAUGCUUGUGUGUUUACCAUGUUGUUUGUUUCUUUCCGGUGUUGCUUCUUAGUUCCGGUAAUGUUGCGAUUGUGAGGAUUCGUUCGACUACGUCCGCUUGUCUUCUUCAUGGACUUCUUCUUCCUAGCGGGAUUUCGGGCAAGAUGACCGCUACCCUGGAUCUCACUACUAUCAUUGCUAUGCUAGUUGCUUCGUUCUAUCGCUUUGCUGCGCUAGCUAUCAUCUGUUUGUCGAGCCAUCCCAUGUUGCCAUGAACCUCUAACCUUUGACACCUUUCCUAUGCAAACCGUUGUUUGGCUAUGUUACCGCUUUGCUCAGCCCCUCUUAUAGCGUUGCUAGUUGCAGGUGAAGUUGAAGAUUGCUCCAUGGUGGACAGGAUUUUGGUUGGGAUAUCACAAUAUCUCUUAUAUUAUUAAUGCACCUAUAUACUUGGUAAAGGGUGGAAGGCUCGGCCUUAUGCCUGGUGUUUUGUUCCACUCUUGCCGCCCUUGUUUCCGUCAUACCGGUGUUAUGUUCCCGGAUUUUGCGUUCCUUACGCGGUCGGGUGAUUUAUGGGACCCCCUUGACAGUUCGCUUUGAAUAAAACUCCUCCAGCAAGGCCCAACCUUGGUUUUACCAUUUGCCUCACCACCACCUAUAUUUCCCUUGGGAGUAAUUAACCCAAGGGUCAUCUUUAUUACAGCCCCCCCAGGCCAGUGCUUGUCUAAGUGUUGGUCCGAACUAGAGCCCUUUGCAGCGCCCCCUCAGGCAAACUUGAGGUCUGGUUUUAGUUGUACGGAUUGCUCAUCCGGUGUUGCCCUGAGAAUGAGAUAUGUGCAGCUCCUAUCGGGAUUGUCGGCGCAUCGGGCGGUCUUGCUGGUCUUGUUUUACCAUUGUCGAAAUGUCUUGUAAACCGGGAUUCCGAGUCUGAUCGGGUCUUCCUGGGAGAAGGUCUAUUCCUUCGUUGAUCACGAGAGCUUGUCAUGGGCUAAGUUGGGACACCCCUGCAGGGUAUAAUCUUUCGAAAGCCGUGCCUGUGGUUAUAGGCAGAUGGGAAUUUGUUAAUGUCCGGUUGUAGAUAACUUGACACCAGAUCCAAAUUAAAACGCAUCAACCGCGUGUGUGGCCGUGAUGGUCUCUUCUCGACGGAGUCCGGGAAGUGAACACGGUCUUUGGGUUAUGUUUGACGUAAGUAGGAGUUCAGGAUCACUUCUUGAUCAUUGCUAGCUUCACGACCAUUCCGCUUGCUCUCUUCUCGCUCUUAUUUGCGUAUGUCAGCCACCAUAUAUGCUUAGUCGCUGCUACAGCCUCACCACUUUACCCCUUCCUUUCCCUCUAAGCUUUGCUAGUCUUGAUACCCAUGGUAAUGGGAUUGUUGAGUCCUCGUGGCUCACAGAUUACUCAACAAUAGUUGCAGGUACAGGUUAUGCGAUGAUCAUGACGCGAGAGCGAUGCUUGCUUGCGUUGAGUUCUUCUUCUGCUUCUUCGAUCAGGGGAUAGGUUCCAGGUCGGCGGCCUGGGCUAGCAGGGUGGAUGUCAUUUGAGUUUCUGUUUGUGUUUCAUCCGUAGUUGGAUGAUGCUCUUAUGUAUUGUGAUGUUGUAUUCGUGUGGCAUUGUAUGCCUUAUGUAUGUAUCCCUAUCUAUUAUGUAAUGUUGAUGUAAUGAUAUCCACCUUGCAAAGCGUUUCAAUAUGCGGGUCUAUCCUUGGUGGGACCUUCGAGUUCCUUUUGGAUAGGGUCGCAUAUUGAGUGUGACAAUAAGAAAUGUGCUUAUCAAGUUCCCCCACACUUAAAUCUUUGCUUGUCCUCAAGCAAAGGAAUAUGACAAAGGCAAGAUAAUGAACAGUAAACUGAGUAAGGAAUGUCCUGGUAAAAUAGAUCUCCAAACAAGGCAUGCUUCAGACUUAGCUAGUGAAAAUUAAUGGUUAGGAGUGCUACAAAGCAGUAGGAUACUAGUAAGCAUGACCAUUUUAAACUUUUACAGAGAUAAAAGAGGAUCAACAAGUUUAAAUGAUGAAUGCGCCAAAUGGUUCCUAAAGAGAGCAUGAUCCCAAGAACAAAAUGAACUGGAAUUAAAUCUUGUGAUCAAAUCACUUAUUUACAGAGAUAAAGCAAUGAUUAUAUUAUUAUUAGUCUCACCAUAGGAACAUACCACCGAUCCCGAGAACAUGGUAUACACCUGGCUCGACCAAUUAUUAGUUUUUUUUGUUUGUCUCCCCAAAGGAACAUACCACCGAUCCCGAGAACAUGGUAUACACCUGGUUCGACAAUUACAUUUUUUAUUAUUAAUUACUGCCCAAGCUAACCCUAUUUCACAUGCCACCGAUCCCGGGAACAUGACAUGCUACUGUAGGUAGUCAGACUUAUUUAUUCAUUAUCACUUAUCUUAAAUGAACAACACAUAAGCACAAAAAUAGGAAUCAUCACUUCUCCAUGUCUGGUUCACAUGCUACCGAUCCAGGGAACAUAGCAUGCUAAUCCAUAGUGGUUAGGUGAUUGCUCUCAAUGGGAACACACUUAGCACAAAUUCAGCAUCUAAAUGUGGUGAUCUAGGUGUAUCGAGGUAAAAGCAGAAAAUGAUUAAGUUUUCUAGUAUACUAGGGAUUUGAGCACUCAAAACUAAUAACUUCCACUACUUUCAGCAAAGCAAGCAUUGUAUAGAUCACUAGUUUACCAGGCAUUCAACACUCAGUUCACAUAUUCUCAUCAAGCACCAUAUGUCAAGUAAAAUUCAGUGGGGCAACAUUUAAGACAUGGCUUAAGCAACCCAAAUAACAUUUGAUUUCAGCAUGUAUCAAUGGAUGAUAUACUAGGAAUGGGUCAUGAAACAGCUCACCGGGUUUUCAUAGGAAGUAGCACUCGCUCGAUCACCUCACCAACUGCAGCUCCUCUCCUUUUGCUUCUCUAUCCUCAUGCCUGCUCCAGCUUCUCCCUUCCUCGAGUGUGCCCCCUUGCUUCUCCUCAUCCCCAUGCUCUGAGUCCACCAGGGUACCAAGGAAUGUCACCUCGAACCUGGUCAGCAUGUAAUGGAUCGUGCACAAGCAAAAACCUGAAAGCACACUCAACAACCAAGCCAAUACAAGUGACAGAGAGAAUGCCUUCUAAGUCAUCGAUAGAGUACCCUAUCAUAUAAGUAUAUCUAUUGAUGAAAUCAGGAACAUGUAUCAACAACAAGUCACAUGGGGCAUAGGCAAUAUCAGCGAUAUGACAUGUCUUGUCCAGAAAGCUAAGAUCAUACCUGAGAUAGUUAGGAAGAAGCUUCAGGACUACCUCAAUUGAAGAUACCAAGUGAGGUGUGGUAGUAGAAAUUUCAACCGGACUCGUAUCAACAAGUGAAAUAGUAGAGCUUGGCUCCUUGACAUUUGAAUCCACCUCACCAUACUCAACCAUGAAGCUCUCCGUCUCAGGCUCAAGUGUUGAGGAAGUAAUGCGGCUAACAUCAUCGAAGGUGAACUUCUCCAUAUCUGGCUCUAGCAGCACAUGAUCAAUAUCAACUAAAGGUGACUCCUCAAUAUCAAAAACAACUAACUGCAGCUCUGGCUCAUCCAUGGAAGAAUCAUCACAAUGCAAAACCGAAUCUCCAACACUAGUAUCCAUAUGAUCUGUAGCGUGUGUGUCAACUAGAAUGGUGUCAUCAUCGUCAAAGAUAAUCCAUGCAAGCUCAAUCUUGUCACACAGAGAUAGAGGUUCAGGGUUUUGUGUAAGAAUUGGUGGCUAAGGUGUAGUGAUUUGUUGCAAGCAAACCAAUGAAUCAGACGUGGGCUUCUUAUUGUACCACUGAAGUUGGUGGAAAGCUAUGCUCUCAAUCAGCAGAAAAGCUUCAUCAAGUGUCUUGUUUGUAAUAGCUCCACCCGCUGCCAUAUCGACAUAAGCUCGAGUGUUCGAAGUCAAUCCUCUAUAGAAUAUCUGCAGCUCUAACCAUCUCUCGAGCCCGUGGUUAGGACAUCUCCUGAAUAAAGCCUUCUAUCUCUCCCAAGCAUCAUACAAGCUCUCGCCUUCACACUGAACGAAGCUGAGGAUCUCAUCUCGAAUUGCGGACUGCUUGUGUAGUGGGAAAUAUUUAUCCAAGAAAGCUUGUGAUAUCUCGUUCCAACUGAAUGAUCUUGAUGGCAAGGAUCGAUACCAAGCACGAGCAUCAUCCCGGAGAGAGAAUGAGAACAGCAUGCACUUGAUAGCAUCUUGAGGAACUCCAUGGUACUUGACUGUACCUGAAUACUCCAUGACUCGGUAUAAGUGCUCAUAGGGAUCCUCAGUGAGCAGACCUCCAAACUGUUGUUGUUGAACCAAAGCAAUAAGACUAGGCUUUAGCUCAAAAUUUUCUGCCUCAAAAGACGGCCAAAGUGGCCCUGUGAAAUAGCAUUGGCUGCUUGGCAUCCAAACAUCACGAAGCAUCGCCAUAUCUCCACCAAGUGUAACUAUCAAUCAACCUGCAAAUAGAUCAGAUUUCCUAUGCACACUCAUAAAUAGUAAAUACUAGUCAGAAUGUUAUAUCCUAAUAAGCCGAAGCAACAACAAGGAAAAAAUAUAAAAGAAACACAGAAAAAGAAAUACACGAUGAAUUAAACACGAAACUAAAAUAAACCUAGUCUAUAGCUAACAUAAUCGCUCGACGCUAUUCCCCGGCAACGGCGCCAAAAUGAUCGAUUGUAUUAUAGUGGGGUUUUUACGCCAAAACUACGAGUGUCGUGUUCUCCUCAGGGACUAGGCGACGGCAACUAUACUCGGCUAAAGCUAGGUAACAGAAUUUAGAUGAUGAUUGCAAGGAAAUAUAAGCCUAAACUAACCAAAGUUGACGACAAAGGAAAUGAAAAUAAGCAAGGGGAGGUUCAGAUUAUCUUCACUUUGUCUUUUUUUGGUAUUUUCAUAUUAUUCUAGAAACUAAAUACUAACACAGGACAUCACCAUCGACAGAAAGAAAGUAACAAGAAAUGAUCACAAAUAUAUUUAGCAGACGUAUAUACGAGAUGAAAAACAGAACAAAGAUAAUAGGACAAGGACAGAAAUGUUUGACACCAUAAGAUUGUAUAUAUAUAACACAAAUACUACGAACUGACCAUGUUUCUACAGCAACCACAGUACACAGGGAAUAGAUUCAACUAAUAACAAACCAACAAAUCACACUGACAUGAUAUCUUCUUGUCAAGUAGCCAACAACUAGUAAGAAAACAUUAAAGAAGAACUAUAUUUAUAAGUAUGUAACAGAGCACAUAGCUAUUUAAGUACUAGUCAAAUCUGAACAAUACACAUCACAUGUGUUUCAAUCUUACAGAAAUUUCAGAGAGCAUGAGAAAGAAAAAAAAAGUAGCAGGAGGUUGAGGUAGUAGCAGCCAGGUUGAAGAGAGAAGUAGCAGCAGGGGGUUGAGAAAAGAGAAGUAGUUGGUGAUAGAGUAGUAGCAGCAGCAACAAGAGGAGGAGCAGGACGGCAACAGGCGUUGAGAGAGAAGGAGGAAGAGAUUCAGCAGCAGGAGGUUGCGGGCAUCAGCAGCAGCAAGGAGGAGAGAGGCGCGCGGGGGGCCAGACACCCGUCUGGUCGGGCGCGCGAGGUGCGGCGGUGGGAUGGCGGCGCUGUGGUGCAGAUGGAGUGGUGGAUGUUGCUGAUGGUAUGGCGCGGCGGCGAAGAUGUGGAUGGGCGGCGCUGGUGGAAGCUGUGUGGUGGCUGAGAGGCGCACCACCACGCUGGCCUGUCCGUGGCGGCGGCCGAUGGUGGAGAAGAAGGGGAGAGGGAGAGAGAUCAGUGGCC